GACGUAGGGGGCGAGCGUUAUUCGGAAUUAUUGGGCGUAAAGCGCUCGUAGGCGGGACAGGAAGUCCGUGAAGAAAGACCUGGGCUCAACUCAGGGAACGGCACGGAUACUCUUGUUCUUGAGGCAAUCAGAGGGUGAUGGAAUUCCCGGUGUAGCGGUGAAAUGCGUAGAUAUCGGGAAGAACACCAAAGGCGAAAGCACUUUGCUGGGCCGAAACUGACACUGAUAGACGAAAGCUAGGGGAGCAAAUGGG
Molecule: ribosomal RNA, 253 nt
Filed under: uncultured prokaryote
Description: partial 16S ribosomal RNA
Rfam family: Bacterial small subunit ribosomal RNA
Source: RNAcentral